Molecule: ribosomal RNA, 468 nt
Filed under: Triticum aestivum (bread wheat)
Lineage: Eukaryota; Viridiplantae; Streptophyta; Magnoliopsida; Poales; Poaceae
Description: partial small subunit ribosomal RNA
Source: RNAcentral
AUGGACCUGGAAGAUUUUACUACUGCUUGCAAACUCCCGCAGUGGGAAAGCGUUAAUGAUCCCCACAAAUCUGAAUUUAGAGAUUUCCUUGCUAGUAUUACUGUGGGAGAAUCUAGGGAUAUAACACAAGCUACCAUAGGGAGCAUUCAUUUUCCCGCUAUACAUUAUUUUGCUCUCUUCAUUGGUAGAUGCAUUAACGGUAAAGAUGAAGCAUGUCAUAUGUAUGUCCCUGAUCUUUGUGUCCUCAGGAGUGUCGUGUUAGGUUAUAAAGAUUAUAACUUGGGGGCAAUAGUUGCACGUAGGUUGCAUAAAAAUGAUAGAGCUAGAGAUUUAUUUGAAGGAAUUUAUGCGACCCGUGUGGCCAAUUAUCUUGGUAUAGCCCCACGAGAGGGUGAUAUGAUGUUUCCUCCUACUUAUUUAGAUUAUGACGCUAUGGUCAAACAUCAUUUUUUUAAGAUGAAUGAAUAA